UAAACUAGGGAUUAGAUACCCUAUUAUUUUUAUUAAAAAAUUAAAUAAUUUAAUUAUUAAAUGUAAAUCAUUAAAAAUAAAAAAUUUGGCGGUAUUUAUUAUUUAGAGGAACUUGUUUAUUAAAUUGAUAAUCCACGRGUGGAAAAACUUAAUUUUUUUAUUUUUAUGUAUUGUUGUAAAAUUAUAUUAAGAGGUAUUAAUUAAUAAAUUUAAUUAAAAUUAUAAUUCAAAUCAAAAUGUAGAAUAAUUAAGAGUUUAAUGAGUUACAAUUAGAUUAAUAAUUGAAUUUUAAAAAAUUUAAUUUUAUAAAUGAAAAUGGAUUUAAAAGUAAAAUUAUAUAAACUUAUAAUUGAA
RNAcentral lists this ribosomal RNA (354 nucleotides) under Camponotus sp. MG101. Its description in RNAcentral is "partial 12S ribosomal RNA". The record is from RNAcentral. Lineage: Eukaryota; Metazoa; Arthropoda; Insecta; Hymenoptera; Formicidae.